CCACCGGGAAUUACUUCGGAUCAUUGGAGAUGGUUCCUUGAUUAUCGCAAUAGUGAAGAAACAAAGGAGAAGUGUAGAAAAAAUGCUGAGAAUCGAUCAAAGCAGUUAUACACUCAUACUGGCGGAUCGAAAAGCUUGGCAAGGCUCGGAGAAGAAGAGGAAAGAAUUGCGGAGAUUGAGCAACAUGAUGAAUCAUCUAGACUGUUGUCUCAGAAUGAUUCACUUGCUCAAACUCUUGGAAAGGAGCACCUAGGUAGAGUG
This is a non-coding RNA of Arachis ipaensis, 261 nucleotides long. NCBI's taxonomy places the organism in Eukaryota, Viridiplantae, Streptophyta, Magnoliopsida, Fabales, Fabaceae. The record is from RefSeq and is a predicted model, not a curated record.